CAGCUUUAAGCCAGGUGCGAUCAUAAAUCAUCAGAUCAUGCCUAGAACUACUUAUCUGAACUCCAAAUGUCUCAGUCUGCACUGAUCAACCGGCAUUAUAAAUGAGAAUUCCAGGCAAAAAGAGGUCUAGUUUGGCAUGUAUCCUGACAAGGUGAUGCUACCUUUCUGGGCCUGCCCAUCUUGCACCUGGUGUGGCAUGGCCAACACAGUCAGGAAGGUUAUCAGUAGCCAAGUGUCUGGCCAACCUUCCAGAGGAGAGAGGGCAAGGGAGGACAUGUUUGCUCACCUCAUGAAUGGGUCCCACCAGAAGGCAAAAAUCCCAAAGGAAUGGAGAGAAGCAUUCAUCCUGCAAGACAAGAGAGAGAGGGGGACAAAGAGCCUGCCAAGAAGCUGUUAAAGGAGCACAUGGAUCAACUGGACACAGAAAGGGACUUGCAGGGAAAGAUGUUGGACAUGAUGCAAAUGCAGACAAGUUUCCUGGAGAACAUGGUUGCACUGUGCUCAUGUGUAACACUCCAACAUAGUCCUCUCCUGCAGCUUGCUGAGAACACAGGCCAUUGAGAGCCUUCUUUCAGUCACACAGCUGCAGGACACAGACCGUUCCCGUGCCAUCCCACCCCCUAAGACAAGGUGGACAACUGCCAUCCCACCUAUGGAUCUUUUGUGCACAAACAUGUUAGCUCUGCACUGUGGCUAUUUCUGCACCAUUUUAGUCAGUUUUGAAUUUGCACUGUCUUGAUAGGUGUCACAGCAAUUUUUUUUAUUAUUUAUAAUUGCACUCAGUUGAAAACUGUCAUUAAGAUAAGAUUCAU
Long non-coding RNA from Gopherus flavomarginatus (Mexican gopher tortoise), 812 nucleotides. RefSeq lists it as uncharacterized. NCBI's taxonomy places the organism in Eukaryota, Metazoa, Chordata, Testudines, Testudinidae. The record is from RefSeq and is a predicted model, not a curated record. The transcript has 3 exons.